Molecule: ribosomal RNA, 288 nt
Filed under: uncultured bacterium
Lineage: Bacteria
Description: partial 16S ribosomal RNA
Rfam family: Bacterial small subunit ribosomal RNA
Source: RNAcentral
ACUCCUACGGGAGGCAGCAGUGGGGAAUAUUGCACAAUGGGCGCAAGCCUGAUGCAGCCAUGCCGCGUGUGUGAAGAAGGCCUUCGGGUUGUAAAGCACUUUCAGUAGGGAGGAAGGUGGUAGUGUUAAUAGCGCUAUCAUUUGACUGUUACCUACAGAAGAAGCACCGGCUAACUCCGUGCCAGCAGCCGCGGUAAUACGGAGGGUGCGAGCGUUAAUCGGAAUUACUGGGCGUAAAGCGCAUGCAGGUGGUUUGUUAAGUCAGAUGUGAAAGCCCCGGGCUCAACC